GUGGUGCCACAGAUGGUGCGGAAGCUGCUGCAGCUGCUGGAGAUGGAGCAGGAGACUGAGAGCGAGAGCGGCGGGUUUCCCCUGGCCGCGGCCACGGUGCUGCACAAGAUGCUGGAUUGCCGCAGGUACAGCACGCAGGUGUGCCUGCUCUUCCCAGAGUUCUUCGUGGCGCUCAUCUUCCAGCUCAAGCGGUCCGGGGAGCUCGCUUCCGAGGAGGACAGGGCUAUGUAUGUGAACGAGUGGGCCCCGUUCGAGCCUCCCCCCGCCACCAGGACGUUGGUGGAGGCGGCGCUCCGUUUGCUCUGGUGGAUGGAGCUGGAAGACCUGAAGAGCACCAUGACCAGACUGGAGAUGUGGAGGUGGCUGUUGUGCGGUGAUGAGUGGCAGAGCGCCGUGCCGGACAUCAGCGAGAUGAUGCUGAGUUCCUGCCGGGAUCAGUGCGCCCGCAUAUUCAGCCACCUGCAGAAGCUGCUGCUGCACCCUGAGCUGCGGUGGAGGGAGGUCCCCGCCUUAACAUUCUACACAGAGCUGUGGAGCUGCGAGGAGCUGCGGGACGAGGACACCUGCGCGGAGGAGAUCUUUAGGAAAUACAUCUGCAGCGAGAAGCCCAGGAGCAGGGAGCUGGCGCUGCGCGGGCUGCGGGGCCUGUAUGC
Molecule: long non-coding RNA, 653 nt
Filed under: Numida meleagris (helmeted guineafowl)
Lineage: Eukaryota; Metazoa; Chordata; Aves; Galliformes; Numididae
Description: lncRNA (ENSNMEG00000013652.1)
Source: RNAcentral